RNAcentral lists this ribosomal RNA (468 nucleotides) under uncultured bacterium. RNAcentral's name for it is "partial 16S ribosomal RNA". It matches the Rfam family "Bacterial small subunit ribosomal RNA", at positions 28 to 507 of the family's 1533-position model. The record is from RNAcentral.
GACGAACGCUGGCGGCGUGCUUAACACAUGCAAGUCGAACGGAAAGGCCCUGCUUUUGUGGGGUGCUCGAGUGGCGAACGGGUGAGUAACACGUGAGUAACCUGCCCUUGACUGUGGGAUAACUUCAGGAGACUGGGGCUAAUACCGGAUAGGAGCUCCUGCUGCAUGGUGGGGGUUGGAAAGUUUCGGCGGUUGGGGAUGGACUCGCGGCUUAUCAGCUUGUUGGUGGGGUAGUGGCUUACCAAGGCUUUGACGGGUAGCCGGCCUGAGAGGGUGACCGGCCACAUUGGGACUGAGAUACGGCCCAGACUCCUACGGGAGGCAGCAGUGGGGAAUAUUGCACAAUGGGCGGAAGCCUGAUGCAGCAACGCCGCGUGCGGGAUGACGGCCUUCGGGUUGUAAACCGCUUUCGCCUGUGACGAAGCGUGAGUGACGGUAAUGGGUAAAGAAGCACCGGCUAACUACGUG